CUACGUGCCAGCAGCCGCGGUAAUACGUAGGUCCCGAGCGUUGUCCGGAUUUAUUGGGCGUAAAGCGAGCGCAGGCGGUUUGAUAAGUCUGAAGUUAAAGGCUGUGGCUCAACCAUAGUUCGCUUUGGAAACUGUCAAACUUGAGUGCAGAAGGGGAGAGUGGAAUUCCAUGUGUAGCGGUGAAAUGCGUAGAUAUAUGGAGGAACACCGGUGGCGAAAGCGGCUCUCUGGUCUGUAACUGACGCUGAGGCUCGAAAGCGUGGGGAGCGAACAGGAUUAGAUACCCUGGUAGUCCACGCUGUAAACGUUGGGCACUAGGUGUGGGGGCCACCCGUGGUUUCUGCGCCGUAGCUAACGCUUUAAGUGCCCCGCCUGGGGAGUACGGCCGCAAGGCUAAAACUCAAAGGAAUUGACGGGGGCCCGCACAAGCGGCGGAGCAUGCGGAUUAAUUCGAUGCAACGCGAAGAACCUUACCAGGUCUUGACAUCCCGAUGCUAUUUCUAGAGAUAGAAAGUUA
This 517-nucleotide ribosomal RNA is filed under the name uncultured bacterium. Its description in RNAcentral is "bacterial SSU rRNA". It matches the Rfam family "Bacterial small subunit ribosomal RNA", at positions 501 to 1016 of the family's 1533-position model. The record is from RNAcentral.